GAUGAACGCUGGCGGCGUGCCUAAUACAUGCAAGUCGAGCGAACAGACGAGGAGCUUGCUCCUCUGACGUUAGCGGCGGACGGGUGAGUAACACGUGGAUAACCUACCUAUAAGACUGGGAUAACUUCGGGAAACCGGAGCUAAUACCGGAUAAUAUAUUGAACCGCAUGGUUCAAUAGUGAAAGACGGUUUUGCUGUCACUUAUAGAUGGAUCCGCGCCGCAUUAGCUAGUUGGUAAGGUAACGGCGUACCAAGGCAACGAUGCGUAGCCGACCUGAGAGGGUGAGCGGAAACAUGGGGAAUGAGAUACGGACCAGGCUGCGAUGGGAGGCAGCAGGGGGGAUUAUUGCACAAUGGGCGGAAGACUGAUGAAGCAACGCCGAGGGCGGGAUGACGGCCUGCGGGGUGUAAACCGCUGUCGCCGGUGACGAAGCGGGAGUGACGGUAAUGGGUAAAGAAGCACCGGCUAACUACGU
RNAcentral lists this ribosomal RNA (476 nucleotides) under uncultured bacterium. Its description in RNAcentral is "partial 16S ribosomal RNA". It matches the Rfam family "Bacterial small subunit ribosomal RNA", at positions 28 to 506 of the family's 1533-position model. The record is from RNAcentral.